GAACUCACCUCUUCCUCAAAGGAGACAUUUGUUUCCGGUGGCCCCAGAGUGUACGUAACAGAACUUUUGAAUGUCUGCCGCCGAUCAACGAUGAUACAAUUAGCGUUGUCGAGGGGCACUAUGGGGUGGAAAAGGAGGGAAGAAAAGGUAGCAGACAAUUGCAAGAGGGUAUCAGGCAAGUGUCCGAAGAGCUGUUUUGUGGUGGACACGCCUCGAGAGUACCU
Molecule: non-coding RNA, 224 nt
Organism: Caenorhabditis elegans
Lineage: Eukaryota; Metazoa; Nematoda; Chromadorea; Rhabditida; Rhabditidae
Source: Ensembl